CGGAGGGGCGUAGCGUUGUUCGGAAUUACUGGGCGUAAAGCGCACGUAGGCGGACUGGAAAGUCAGGGGUGAAAUCCCGGGGCGUCAACCCCGGAACUGCCUUUGAAACUCCCGGUCUUGAGGUCGAGAGAGGUGAGUGGAAUUCCGAGUGUAGAGGUGAAAUUCGUAGAUAUUCGGAGGAACACCAGUGGCGAAGGCGGCUCACUGGCUCGAUACUGACGCUGAGGUGCGAAAAGCGUGGGGAGCAAACAGGAUU
This 256-nucleotide ribosomal RNA is filed under the name uncultured bacterium. RNAcentral's name for it is "partial 16S ribosomal RNA". It matches the Rfam family "Bacterial small subunit ribosomal RNA", at positions 526 to 779 of the family's 1533-position model. The record is from RNAcentral.